UUUUAAUUUCGGGCUAGCGUCGUUAACAGUGUACUAAAUUUCAAGAAAGAGGCGCAUGUCUGUGGGGGCGCUAAAAACUCACUAGGGAGCAAAAGGGGGCGCCAGCCUGAAAAAGUUUGAGAACCACUGAGGUGUUGGUCGGUCGGCGUCAACGUUCUUCAAACUCCAAUGAAAUCACUGAGCUUCACAGUCUUUACUCCAACCCCACAGCCCACAAGACGUGUUCAAUUAACCUAAUAGGAAGAGGAACGGUUGCUAUCACUUCUAAAUCUCAAUUCUCAACCCUUUUAGCACAGCCUCUUCCAAAGUUCUAACAACCUUCCAACACGGCAACACCUCAUGUGUUGGUCGGAGCCAUCAUCCUUCAACCCUCAAUAAACUCUCUG
Hyalella azteca is the source of this 386-nucleotide long non-coding RNA. RefSeq lists it as uncharacterized. The transcript has 3 exons. The record is from RefSeq and is a predicted model, not a curated record. Lineage: Eukaryota; Metazoa; Arthropoda; Malacostraca; Amphipoda; Hyalellidae.